CAAUAGCGUAUAUUAAAGUUGUUGCGGUUAAAAAGCUCGUAGUUGGAUUUCUGCCGAGGACGACCGGUCCGCCCUCUGGGUGAGUAUCUGGCUCGGCCUGGGCAUCUUCUUGGAGAACGUAGCUGCACUUGACUGUAUGGUGCGGUAUCCAGGACUUUUACUUUGAGGAAAUUAGAGUGUUUAAAGCAGGCCUUUGCCUUGAAUACAUUAGCAUGGAAUAAUAAGAUAGGACCGUUGUCUAUUUUGUUGGUUUACAGAUGUCGGUAAUGAUUAAUAGGGAUAGUUGGGGGUAUUCGUAUUCAGUUGUCAGAGGUGAAAUUCUUGGAUUUUCGGAAGACGCACGACUGCGAAAGCAUUUACCAAGGAUGUUUUCAUUAA
Molecule: ribosomal RNA, 378 nt
Filed under: uncultured eukaryote
Lineage: Eukaryota
Description: partial 18S ribosomal RNA
Rfam family: Eukaryotic small subunit ribosomal RNA
Source: RNAcentral